RNAcentral lists this ribosomal RNA (443 nucleotides) under Vreelandella aquamarina. RNAcentral describes it as "bacterial SSU rRNA". It matches the Rfam family "Bacterial small subunit ribosomal RNA", at positions 88 to 533 of the family's 1533-position model. Lineage: Bacteria; Pseudomonadati; Pseudomonadota; Gammaproteobacteria; Oceanospirillales; Halomonadaceae. The record is from RNAcentral.
CUGACGAGCGGCGGACGGGUGAGUAAUGCAUAGGAAUCUGCCCGAUAGUGGGGGAUAACCUGGGGAAACCCAGGCUAAUACCGCAUACGUCCUACGGGAGAAAGGGGGCUCCGGCUCCCGCUAUGGGAUGAGCCUAUGUCGGAUUAGCUAGUUGGUGAGGUAACGGCUCACCAAGGCCACGAUCCGUAGCUGGUCUGAGAGGAUGAUCAGCCACAUCGGGACUGAGACACGGCCCGAACUCCUACGGGAGGCAGCAGUGGGGAAUAUUGGACAAUGGGGGAAACCCUGAUCCAGCCAUGCCGCGUGUGUGAAGAAGGCCCUCGGGUUGUAAAGCACUUUCAGCGAGGAAGAACGCCUAGCGGUUAAUACCCGCUAGGAAAGACAUCACUCGCAGAAGAAGCACCGGCUAACUCCGUGCCAGCAGCCGCGGUAAUACGGAGGGU